This 374-nucleotide ribosomal RNA is filed under the name uncultured eukaryote. RNAcentral describes it as "partial 18S ribosomal RNA". It matches the Rfam family "Eukaryotic small subunit ribosomal RNA", at positions 592 to 976 of the family's 1831-position model. The record is from RNAcentral.
CAAUAGCGUAUAUUAAAGUUGUUGCAGUUAAAAAGCUCGUAGUUGAAUUUUUGCUUGCCGCCGAUGUCGGAACUUCCGUACGUUCGGCGGCGUGCAUCCUUGGGUGGAACCUGUGUGGCAUUAGGUUGUCGUGCAGGGGAUGCUCAUCGUUUACUGUGAAAAAAAUUAGAGUGUUCAAAGCAGGCUUACGCCGUUGAAUAUAUUAGCAUGGAAUAAUAAGAUAGGACCUUGGUACUAUUUUGUUGGUUUGCGCACCGAGGUAAUGAUUAACAGGGACAGUUGGGGGUAUUCGUAUUCCAUCGUCAGAGGUGAAAUUCUUGGAUUUCUGGAAGACGAACUACUGCGAAAGCAUUUACCAAGGAUGUUUNCAUUAA